Molecule: unclassified non-coding RNA, 220 nt
Filed under: Hevea brasiliensis (rubber tree)
Lineage: Eukaryota; Viridiplantae; Streptophyta; Magnoliopsida; Malpighiales; Euphorbiaceae
Source: RNAcentral
GGUAUACCCAAACCUGCUAGACUUACACGAUGCCUGAAGACUUUGUAGCUAAAUUUGAAGAGAUCAUGUCUGGUAGCCUCAAACUCUCACUCACGAGGAACGAUACAAGCUUUCAUGAGAAGCUGCUACACAGAUGUUCAUGGAAUAUUCUGACCUCGAUAAGGUUUUGACUGGUGAAACCAGACUGGACAGGAGACGUCGGAAGGGCCCUGGAUUAAUC